RNAcentral lists this ribosomal RNA (666 nucleotides) under Priestia megaterium. RNAcentral describes it as "bacterial SSU rRNA". It matches the Rfam family "Bacterial small subunit ribosomal RNA", at positions 117 to 761 of the family's 1533-position model. Lineage: Bacteria; Bacillati; Bacillota; Bacilli; Caryophanales; Bacillaceae. The record is from RNAcentral.
GUGGGCAACCUGCCUGUAAGACUGGGAUAACUUCGGGAAACCGAAGCUAAUACCGGAUAGGAUCUUCUCCUUCAUGGGAGAUGAUUGAAAGAUGGUUUCGGCUAUCACUUACAGAUGGGCCCGCGGUGCAUUAGCUAGUUGGUGAGGUAACGGCUCACCAAGGCAACGAUGCAUAGCCGACCUGAGAGGGUGAUCGGCCACACUGGGACUGAGACACGGCCCAGACUCCUACGGGAGGCAGCAGUAGGGAAUCUUCCGCAAUGGACGAAAGUCUGACGGAGCAACGCCGCGUGAGUGAUGAAGGCUUUCGGGUCGUAAAACUCUGUUGUUAGGGAAGAACAAGUACAAGAGUAACUGCUUGUACCUUGACGGUACCUAACCAGAAAGCCACGGCUAACUACGUGCCAGCAGCCGCGGUAAUACGUAGGUGGCAAGCGUUAUCCGGAAUUAUUGGGCGUAAAGCGCGCGCAGGCGGUUUCUUAAGUCUGAUGUGAAAGCCCACGGCUCAACCGUGGAGGGUCAUUGGAAACUGGGGGAACUUGAGUGCAGAAGAGAAAAGCGGAAUUCCACGUGUAGCGGUGAAAUGCGUAGAGAUGUGGAGAGAACACCAGUGGCGAAGGCGGCUUUUUUGGUCUUGUAACUGACGCCUGGAGGGCGGCGAAAAGC